CGCCUGUUUAUCAAAAACAUAGCUUGAAGAAAAUAUUUUAGGUGAAAUCUGCUCAAUGUAACUAUUUAAUAAAUAGCCGCGGUACUUUGACCGUGCUAAGGUAGCAUAAUAAGUUGGCUUUUAAAUGGGGUCGAGUAUGAAUGAAAAAACGUAGCUUAGCUGUCUCAAAAUUACUUUAUUGAAGUUACUGUAUAGAUGAAAAAGUCUAUUGAAAAAUAAAAGACGAGAAGACCCUUAGAAUUUAAAUGAAACUGAAAAUAUUUUCAGUAUAUUUUUGUUGGGGCGACAUAGAAACAGGAAGAUAACUUUCUGAAAAUGACAUGACGAUUUUUUUAAGGUUGAAUAAAUUACCUGAGGGAUAACAGCAUAAUUAUAAAAAUUAGUUUGUGACCUCGAUGUUGGACUAGGAAAUUGGUAGAAUUAGCCGUUUACCAAAUUGGUUCUGUUCGAACUGCUUUUCCUACGUGAUCUGAGUCAGACC
RNAcentral lists this ribosomal RNA (481 nucleotides) under Berthella plumula. RNAcentral's name for it is "partial 16S ribosomal RNA". It matches the Rfam family "Bacterial large subunit ribosomal RNA", at positions 1797 to 2617 of the family's 2925-position model. The record is from RNAcentral. Lineage: Eukaryota; Metazoa; Mollusca; Gastropoda; Pleurobranchida; Pleurobranchidae.